Molecule: ribosomal RNA, 305 nt
Filed under: uncultured bacterium
Lineage: Bacteria
Description: bacterial SSU rRNA
Rfam family: Bacterial small subunit ribosomal RNA
Source: RNAcentral
UAGCCUACGGGGCGCAGCAGUGGGGAAUAUUGCACAAUGGGGGAAACCCUGAUGCAGCGACGCCGCGUGAGUGAAGAAGUAUUUCGGUAUGUAAAGCUCUAUCAGCAGGGAAGAAAAUGACGGUACCUGACUAAGAAGCCCCGGCUAACUACGUGCCAGCAGCCGCGGUAAUACGUAGGGGGCAAGCGUUAUCCGGAUUUACUGGGUGUAAAGGGAGCGUAGACGGAUUGAUAAGUUAGAGGUGAAAUGUCCGAGCUUAACUCGGGAACUGCCUCUAAUACUGUUGAUCUAGAGAGUAGAUGCGG